RNAcentral lists this transfer RNA (57 nucleotides) under Schistocephalus solidus. It matches the Rfam family "tRNA". Rfam says of the family: Transfer RNA (tRNA) molecules are approximately 80 nucleotides in length. Their secondary structure includes four short double-helical elements and three loops (D, anti-codon, and T loops). Lineage: Eukaryota; Metazoa; Platyhelminthes; Cestoda; Diphyllobothriidea; Diphyllobothriidae. The record is from Rfam by way of RNAcentral.
GAGCUCGUGGCUCAGUGGGUAGAGCUUUGGACUUCUAUCCAACGGGUCACGAGUUCG